RNAcentral lists this ribosomal RNA (424 nucleotides) under uncultured bacterium. RNAcentral's name for it is "bacterial SSU rRNA". It matches the Rfam family "Bacterial small subunit ribosomal RNA", at positions 358 to 774 of the family's 1533-position model. The record is from RNAcentral.
GGAAUUUUGGACAAUGGGCGCAAGCCUGAUCCAGCCAUGCCGCGUGCGGGAAGAAGGCCUUCGGGUUGUAAACCGCUUUUGUCAGGGAAGAAAAGCUCUGGGUUAAUACCUUGGAGUGAUGACGGUACCUGAAGAAUAAGCACCGGCUAACUACGUGCCAGCAGCCGCGGUAAUACGUAGGGUGCGAGCGUUAAUCGGAAUUACUGGGCGUAAAGCGUGCGCAGGCGGUUGUGCAAGACAGAUGUGAAAUCCCCGGGCUCAACCUGGGAACUGCAUUUGUGACUGCACGGCUGGAGUGCGGCAGAGGGGGAUGGAAUUCCGCGUGUAGCAGUGAAAUGCGUAGAUAUGCGGAGGAACACCGAUGGCGAAGGCAAUCCCCUGGGCCUGCACUGACGCUCAUGCACGAAAGCGUGGGGAGCAAACA